This is a long non-coding RNA of Pocillopora damicornis (cauliflower coral), 1228 nucleotides long. Lineage: Eukaryota; Metazoa; Cnidaria; Anthozoa; Scleractinia; Pocilloporidae. The record is from RefSeq and is a predicted model, not a curated record.
CGAUACUCUCUACGGUCAUCAGAAUUACUGGUGAAACGAUGCGAAGAUAACCUUACUCACCGAGCUUCAUGAUCUAAACAGAUGGCUGCGAACACAACACAACAAAACCAACCUGGAAGGUUUGUACUUUGGCCGAUAAAGUUAACAUUAAAGGAACGGAGUUACUGUUGCUACACAAAUGUUUCCCAGAACUGGCAUGCGACAACAAUGAAUAUGGUUUCACCGGAGGGCAAAGAAGCAACAGAAAAGGAUCCCUCAGCCUUCUAGUUUCAAGAUGAGAGUAUGAUAAGUUGUUUAUAACAGUGGCCUCGUGCGGGUCAUUUUCCAUAUGUUACUAAGGGACGUGUUUCUACUUAUUGUCUUUGUAAAGUGCUACAGCAACACCUUGUGGGGGGUAUUACUGAAGACAAUUUGGCCGCUGUAAAAAGUUUCUAGAGCUGAAGUUUCGAGCGUUAGCCUUCCGUUAACUCUUCCUCAGAACGAAUGACAGCCUUACAAGAAUCGCUCCUUCUUUCAAAGUAAAAAAUAUCCACUUUUUGAAAAAAAAUCGUGUAAAUUAGUGAUUACUUGGGAUUCUUAAGAUAUGCUUCAGUUCUGUCUCCUGCAAAGGACAUGUUGUAAUGAGUGUCUGGGAAAACCAGAAUUUUCUCUUCAUAAUUUUUAUCAAACCUCACAAUUGAAGUUUUUGUCCCAGGAAAUUUUUUCCAGCAACUAAAUCUCCCAUCUCGUGGCAGAAAACCACUCAAAGCUGUCAAGAUCUUCAAUAAUUUACAGUGGAAUUUAAGAUAUUUUUCUCAAUUUGGAAACAAAUUUGUAAAGCAUGUUAAACUGCUUAAAAUUAUUUUUAAAAAGGCUGAGGCAUAAGAGUAAACAAGAGUAUAAAAUAUCAACAAAGAACUGAGAAAAAAAAUUUUAAAAAUCAACUCUAUGAAAUUAUCUCCAACAACCGGACGUCUUCUAUGAAAAAGACAUUAAUUGUUAAAUUAUUAAACGACUUUUUACAUUCCUUGCAAAACAAAUAAUUAUAAGUUUUCAACCGGUAAAAACUUAACGUUAUAUAACAUAACAGUUACACAAGAAUCGCGUUUUCCUUUACUAAACCUGACAAACCCUUAAGUUAGAACAUCUUGAUUCCUAAAGGUAAACUGGAUAAGGACGUUUAAUAUAUUUGUUACAAUCGCAAUGACGGGCAACAGUUUGGUAAUGAUAAACUUUGUUAGCGAUGUUA